RNAcentral lists this long non-coding RNA (18198 nucleotides) under Malus domestica (apple). RNAcentral's name for it is "long non-coding RNA (MDOM_LNC007255)". The record is from RNAcentral. Lineage: Eukaryota; Viridiplantae; Streptophyta; Magnoliopsida; Rosales; Rosaceae.
AGUGAGAGGAGGAUGCCCAUGACAUUUGUGGCUGAUCGUCCAUUCCUCUUCACGAUCAGGGAAGAAACGACCGGAACAGUUCUGUUCAUCGGUAACCUGCUCAACCCUCUUGCCGGCUGAGUGUUACAACCCCCUGGGAAAGGGCAUCAGAUGUACGUAGAAUAAUACGCGCGAGACUGUAGUAAAUAAAAUGUAUGAUCCUUGUAUACAUGUACUAUGUUUGGUUAUUACCUAAUCACCCUGUACUUGCAGCAGUUGGUCUUGUUUCUCCCAUGUGGCGAUUUUUGUUUGUUCUCCCAUGGCGUUUAUCCAUGUGUAGAAUCUUGAUUCUGAAUACUUAUUUUAUGAUGUACUCUGUUUGAACAAUAAAAGUUUUAGCCGACUGCAAACGUCGGUUAGUGUUAAAGUAUUUAAUAUAUAGAAUGGACGAGUGCUAGUGUUGUACCAUACACAUGGUUGGUGAUGAAAAAGAUUAAACUUUGAAUAUUCUAUAAAAUAUUAUUUAACUUGGGACGAGGAUCUUCUUUGUGAGGAUCUUAUGAAUUAAUUUAUCUUAACGGUUCAUUGUACAUCGUGUGACCAUCUUUCAUUAGAUACUUUUUGUGUUAAAUUUUAAAUAAAUUCAAAAUAAUUUUUGGCUGCAGGAUGAUUGAUAAACAGAUAUGAUGCAUUGAUUCCUAAAGUCCUCACAAAGAGAAUCCGGAUGUUUAUAGUCCUCCAUGACUGGAGAUGGCCUAAGAUGCUAAACACUUAACACUACCCAAUUUUUCCAGUUAGUUAAAUUUUCACAAUUAGUGUAUUAAAUUGCUUAAGAAAUGUUAUCAGCACUCUAAAAUAAUUGACCAUAUUUUCUUGACUCUUUUGUUAAAUUGCAUGAAGAUUUUUUUGGAUAGUCAAUAAUAUCUCCCAAUUGCUUAACAUAGAAUUAAAUAGAGUAUCGCUAACUAGAGCAUGAUAUGUUUCUGUGUCUUUGAUGCCCUUUGCUCGAGAAAAUUUAGUAUAGGGUUUUCAUCACAAAUGGUCCCUGACAUUGAUCAAACACAUCAUUUUGGUCCCUGACAUUGAAAAUCAAUAGAAAUGGUCCCUGACAUUGAUCAAACACAUCAUUUUGGUCCCUGACAUUGAAAAUCAAUAGAAAUGGUCCCUGACAUUGAUCAAACACAUCACAAAUAGUCCUUCCGUUAAAAACGUUUUGGGCAAUUUUCAAAGCUUUGUAACUCAAUCGUUUCUUAACCAAAUUCGACCCAUAAUAUAUCAAAAUGAAGAUAGGAAAGUGUAGAACAAGAUUAUACCUAUUUGGAAACCCAAUGGUUGCCGGAGAUGGCCGGAAAACAGCCUCAAAUGUGACUGGUCCGCGAAAAAACUGGAAAACUCGCCUGAAAUGGGGUAAACUUUAAACAUUCAUAACUUCUUCAAUAAUCAACGAAAUCGAGUGAUUCAAAAAUGAAAAUCAUACUUCUCGACGAGACUAAGAGAAUGGUAGCUUUCUUGAUGGCUAACUCAUUGUAGUUUGGCCGGAAAAUGACUCGAAAUUGGCUAACUCGAAAAUGGUUAUCCAAGUUCGAGCCAUUUUCCGGUCAAACCACGGUAAAUUAGUAGUCAAUAAAGAUACCAUUAUCUUUCUCUCAUUGAGAAGUAUGAUUUUCAUUUUUGAAUCACUCAAUUUCAUUGAGUAUUGAAGAAGUUAUGAAUGUUUAAAGUUUACCCCAUUUCAGGCGAGUUUUUCAGUUUUUUCGCGGACCAGUCACAUUUGAGGCUGUUUUCCGGCCAUCUCCGGCAACCAUUGGGUUUCUAAAUAGGUAUAAUCUUGUUCUACACUUUCCUAUCUUCAUUUUGAUAUAUCAUGGGUCGAAUUUGGUUAAGAAACGAUUGAGUUACGAAGCUUUGAAAAUUGCCCAAAACGUUUUUAACGGAAGGACCAUUUGUGAUGUGUUUGAUCAAUGUCAGGGACCAUUUCUAUUGAUUUUCAAUGUCAGGGACCAAAAUGAUGUGUUUGAUCAAUGUCAGGGAUCAUUUGUGAUGAAAACCCUUUAGUAUAUGAACGACAAACUACGUGUUAUUACGGCCACAGACGAUAAUCCAGACUAUUUGUUUAAUACUUAAGCUUACUUGUGGUCCCAUUAUGUAAAAAAAUUUUGCAUUAGUCUGCACACAAGAAAUUUUUUAUUGGUUUCAGUUGAGCUCAAAUAAUAAUAAUCUGUUCGUGUAAAAGUUAAAAUUUAUCUUAUUAUGUAAUUGAUUUAAAAUACCGUAAAUACUGAUUUAAAAUUAUCUCAUUGUCAGCUUGUGUGUCAUUCUCGUAGAAUUUGGAAUUAUUCACAUUGUUUAGUAACGUAGGAUAUUUCAAGAAGCAUUUUUGCUCACUAUCAUUUAGUGUAAUGUAUAUUCAUCAUUCUAUUUAUCAUCGUUAGAUGAGUUUGAAUUUUAAGAUCCGUGUAGUGGAUAGACACAAAUUUCAAAAUUCAAUCUCAUCUAACGAUAAUAAAUAUGAUGAUGAACAUAAAUCAAAUAAAUGAUGAUGAAAAAAAAUACAUAGAUAUUUCAGUACAUGAAAACGUCACGUUAAUGAAAGGAGCUGGAGCGCCUGCUGCUGACCUCGGUCAAACAGACGGUGUGGGUUUCACGUGGCUGGCGCGAAAUCUAAACCGUUAAUUUAAUGUUAGUUAUCUCUCCCCUUGUCACGACUCCCAUGUAAUGCUGUAAAGUCACAAGCACCCAUCGUUUGGUUCUAAUAUUACAACAGUACCGCCCAUGGAAACACAAUCUUAAGCAAUCUCUAAUACUCAUAAUGUUGUUGAAGUUUUGCACUAAUAAUAGUUGCUAAACAGUGAUUAGACAGUCAGAUAAGAGACAGGGUUUAUGAUGUGAUUUGGACGUCCCAUCCUUUGCCACUUAAAAUGUCUUACCUACCAAACAUAUCUUGAAAAAUAAUUUAGCUUGGUACGAAGAAUCACAAUUUUUGUUUAUAAUUGACGAAAUCAAUCAAUGCAUGUUUUUUAUCAAAUCAAUAUUUAUUGGGAUAUUCAUCCUUAAAAUCUUCAUUUUGUUAUAAAACAACAAUAUAUUUAUUAUUUUUAAAAUUUUGUAAUACGUUUAUUUAAGUAGUGACUUUGAACGUUUUAAAAUUGAAAAAUCAAUAUUUAAAUGCAAAGUUGUCCGUUUUGAAUAAUCUCUAACAAUAUUUUCCUUCUCGUAAAUGAGUAAGAUUGGUUUAUUUUGUACACAAUUAGAUAUUGAGAGUUGAAAUUCUAAAUACUAAGUUCUUCUUAACAUAUUUUCGUAACCAUUUAAGAUGUUUGUAUAUUCGAAGAAUAUGGAAAAAUUGAAUCAACCCAGAUUAUUAUUAUGGCUGUCGACAUCUUUUAUCAGAGGAUAGCCAUCAAGUCACACCGCAUAUCCAGAAAGAGAAAUCCAUCCAAAAAAUAGGAAAACGAAAUGACAUUCCUUAUUUUCCUCCAUGGACGUCCCUUCUCUCCCCACCACGAAGGUCCCAGCUGAAAAGAAACGGAUGGCACAAUCGUGAUUAUCACAAACAGGAAUGUCAAAUUGUAGCAAGAGCAUGGUCAGCGCCGUUACAAAUAAGUGGAAGUUCCUCGGAAGAGUAAGAGAACGCGACAAUCAUAACGUAAUCUAUCUCUUCACUUUCUCAAUCCUUUUCUAUCUUUUUUUUCUUUCUGGGUUCCUUGUACUUCUCAUAAAUAUUAAGAGUUUAAUUCAAAAGAAAGGAACUUUCUCUUUCAUUGCUUACAUUUUUUUUUUCAGAUUAUUUACUUUCCCUUCCUUGCAGUUGCUUGGAAGAAACCAAGCUCAGAAGACCUUUGUUUUUUGAGAAUUCAGUUCAAUCCGUUUAUAUAUAUAUAUAUAUAUGGUGUUGAUGAUUUACCAGAAGUGAUAGUGCUUCAACCGAGAAGAAGAAGCUUUUAGUCUUCAGAAAUUCAGAGAAAAGAUAAGGAAGUGGAAGAGUGAAGGAAAAGCAAAUCAAAAGAUGGGAGAAACUGCUCCUCAUCCUCCACCACAGGUGGUUGCUCGGCCGUCUCAGAUGCCUCUUGGGGCAGCGAAGGGUCCCCAUUUGGACUCCAACUGAGCAGCUCCACAACCUUCAGUAUUGCAUCCACUCCAACCCCUCUUAGCGUUAGUCUCUCUCUGUUUCUGUUAAUUUCUUCGUUCUGGGUUUUAUAUUUUUUGAGUAAAAAGCUGAUUAAAGUUGUGCUAUUUUAAUGGGUUGGUUUAAAAGUUGAAGCUUUUGGCACUACUUCUUAUUUAGUUUACUAGUUUGCUUUUUAUUCCUAAUUUUGCAAAUUACUUUUACUAUUUUUGUUUCGGAUUCUCUAAUUUAUUGUGUUCGAAUCUUUUUAAGUACUGUAAUUAGUUCUAAUAAAAUAAUAAGCAUAUGUUCCAUUACCAGUUUCAACUUAUCCUGCUUACAAGACAUCGAUAUCACUCGAAAAUGUUUAGGAAGUGUAAACGUAAAUUUCCCAUGUUUAUCAAAUGCAACAAACUGCUUCUAAUGGAUCGAAUUUUACAGCGGAAACAUUCGUACUCGCUUUUCAGCACUAUAUUGUGAUGCUCGGAUCCAUAGUUAUAAUUGCCACUAGUUUCGUGCCUCGGAUGGGUGGGGAUCAUGUAAGUUAUGUCCUCUAUACAGUAAAGUUUAUAAUAUGCCGGUUAAGAUUAGCGAUCACACACGUAGCUUUGAAUCCGUGAUGUUAAUGUUUGGGUUUUGUUCUCCCUUUGUGAUCAGGGUGACAAGGCACGCGUGAUUCAGACGAUGCUGUUUAUGGCAGCAAUAAACACUUUGAUCCAAACAUUCACGGGACAAGGCUUCCAACAGUGAUGACUUCGUCAUUCGCUUUUACCCUUCCGGUGAUGUCAAUCAUCAAUGAUUAUUCUGAUCGGAAUUUUAGAAGUGAACAUGAGGUAUGUAAAGUUUGAAACAUGUUAUUCAUAGAGGAUUUAACAUCACAUUAAUUUACUUCUUAAAUUGCUUUAAGAAAUUUCAGUUAUAGACUUUGAGAUGAAAAAUACGUGGUGCAAAAAACGUGUAAACCUUACAUACCUGUAGAAGACGUCAUGAUGAAUUUCUGGUUUUGAGGACGGAAUAGAUUGAAGCACGUCCAUGCACUGUUGCGUCAUAUGCAACAAACUGAUGGGGAGUUCUAGGGUUGUGGCAUUAGCAAUGUGACAGGGACCUCAAACUUACAUAGGCCUCACGUCCCUAGAACCCUACCCACUAAUGGAGACUAGAAACUCUUAUGAUCCUCUAACGAGAAUAAUAAAGCCAAUGGAAAUGUUAGCACACAAUUGUUGUACAUAUAACAGACUUCGAGCAAUUUUUGGAACACGUAAAACAUUGUUAAGAAUAAGAUCAUGAGUAUUGGUUUUAAUGGUUGUUGCAUCAAUAUUCUUAAUGGAUAAACCUGUUCCAUUUCCAACUGUGAUUUUAUCAAAACCUUGGAAUGGUGUAACUUGAUUCAAUGUGGUGGCAUCAGCAGUGAUAUGAUGAGAUGCACCAGUAUCAACAAUCCAUGCAUCAUGAGGAAUAUAUUGUUCUAUCUGCUGUGUUGCCAUAGCUGUUAAGUUUGCAGGUGGUUGUUGGCCUUGAAAAACAUAAUUCCCUUUGUGAUAACAUUCAAGAGCUGAGUGACCUUUUUUUCCCACAAAUCUGACACUCCAUUUGAAAUCUAGUAUUUGGUGUAGUAGCAUUUCUGUGAAAACAAUUGACUGCAGUAUGCCCUUUCUUGUUGCAGAUUUGGCACUCAAUCACUGUUGUUGACCUGCUCUCUGUGUUUCCAUUCCACACAUUUGAACCAUUUGACCUUGAAUUGCCAUACGAAAAAUCAGAAGAGUUUCCUAUGUUGUAACCCUUGCUUUUGAAUCCACCAUUUGUCUUGUAAUUAUUGUUACCCUUGUAGUUUGAACCACCAAAAGGUUUCUGCAUGAAAUGAGGUAUUGGACCAGAAUUUGAUGCAUUAGCCAUAAACCCAAAACCAUAGGGAACUUGAGGAUAAACUGGACCAGGAAAUUGCGGAGACAUAGGAGGUUGAGGCAUAUGAGGUUGCUGUGGAUAUUGUUGUGGCAAGACAAAUGGCUGUGGUUAUUGUGGCUGUGGAUAUUGUUGUGGAUAUUGCUGUGGUAAAACAAAUGGCUCAGCAGAAUAUGGAUAUGGAUUAGGAGUUAUAACACCACCAGUGGUUGCAGGUAAAUGACUAUGCCCUGCAGGAUUAGACCCUGAAGCAAAUGAAUUUCCCUGAGUUGACUAAGAACCCUAAACAUAUAAGGCAGAUAGACUUUGAGACCCAACACUUGUGUCUCAUUCAAUCUCUUUUUCAGCUCUAAAUUUUUUCAAGGAAAUGGAUGAUUCUUUGCCAUAUAUCACAGUUCGAAUAGUUGCAUACUCCUUCGGCAAACCAGCUAAACCAGCAAUUAUAACAUCAUUAUCAGAAAUGAACUCUCCAGUAGCAGUUAAUUGUUCUCUUAUACUCUUCAAUCUUAACAGAUAUUUAUCCAUCAAAUCUCCUCAUUUUUGAAUGGUGUACAACUCAAUUUUUAAAUGAUUUACCCUAGUUUUAGACACUGAAGCAAAUCUAUCCACAAGAUUCGACCAAGCCUCACAAGCAGUUAAACAUCCAAGAACAUAUUUAAUAGCCUCAUCAAACAAAGUAGCUAGUAAAAGACUUAGUAAUGGAUAUGUGGAUUCCCAUUCAACAUAUUCAGCAAGUUCAGAAGUAACUCCUCUCUUAGUAUCUAUUACAAAUUUUUGUGGACAACCAAUAGUGCCAUCAAAAUGCCCAAACAAUUUAUGACCUUUCAACACAUAUUUGAACUGAAAAGCCCAUUUCACAAAAUUAUCAUCCUUCAACUUUAUUGUGAUCAUUCCCAGUUUCAACUUUAACACUUGAAGUAGUCAUGAUUUCUUGAUCGAACACAUAGAAUUUGCAAAUAACAAACAAACACCCAAAAAUUUCUGAUAUACGUAUUGAAAGGAAAGACUGAAACUUUCUCACAACCCAAGCAAGACUGAAACUCGCUUAAUACUCAGGAAAAACUGAAACUUUCUUGAUGAAUCUUGCACACAAAUACAACACACAAUUCCAAUUCGGAAAAGAAAACACAAAAUCUUCUAAUCAGGACUGAAACCCAAUUACUCAACAGAAAUUCACACUAUCACUUGAAUUGCAGCUGUGAUUGCAGCCACAAAUAGCCAGAAUACCAACCGCCAGAAAGAACAACAAGGAUCUGCAAUCGCCAGAACUUUUGAACAAACCCGUUGAAAAGACCUUUCAGAAUCCUUGAACUGGAUAGCAGCGAAAGAACUAGGAUCGAAAACGGUAGUGAACCAUGGUCAGCGAUGAUACCAUAUUAACAGUGUUGAAUUGUGGCCAAGUGGCCAUCACCUUUCGGCUAAUAAACAAACAAAGAAAAGAAAAAGAAAGACAAAAUGAUGAGGAAACAUCAUGAUGAGGAGGCAUCAUGAUUAUGCUUUCUUGUAGUUUUUUAAUAACCAUAAUUAUUGUUUUUGUUUCGGGUAGAAGAGAAGAAAGGGAGAGCUCAUUUUUUAGAAGAAAGCAUAUUAAAGAGAGAAGAGGAGAGAGAGAAGGUAGAGCCUUUUGGUUAUAAAAGGCAUUCGAUUAUGCCUUUGGAUGUGGGAGGGGGGGGAGCGGCAGAUGAGAGAGCACAGGGAGAGCAUUCGGCUCUCCCAUUUGAAUAUGAGCUGCUCCUUCCCACCAUUUGUAAUAAUCCCAUUUUGUUAGUAAUCACUCAAUCAAAGAUGUUGGUGCUACUUGUGUAGCUUUUGGGAGAGAAGGAUUUUGAUAUGUGUUUCUUCUUCUCCAUUUGUUUCUUAGUUUGAGUGAGAGCUAUUGGGUGUAUGUGGGAUUUGGGUUUGAGUGUUGAACUCUAUUUGUAAUCUCCUUUUGAUAUUAAUGGAAUUUCCUCGCCGUCUCGGAACUGGAUGUAGGCUUACGCCAAACCAGUAUAAAAAUCCUUGUGUCUUUUGGAUUAUUUGUCUUGUCAUAUUUUGCCGUUAUUAGCUUUGAUUUCAUAUUUGAAGCUUCCGCACAACAAGUGGUAUCAAAGCUCCGGGUUUCGACUUGGAGGCUUUGUACUAGUAUGUCUAUGAAAUCUUCAAAUGACGGUGAAAUAUGUUUUUUGGAAAAAUUCGACUGGAGGAAUGACUUUGGCAUUUGGUCAAUUGGAGAUGCAGAGUUUGGCUGCAAAAUGCGUGGCGUUGAAGAAGGAUAGUAAGGGACUAUGCUGCAGUCAUUGAGCUUGCAGAUUGGAGAAUGGUUUCGGAAACAGCGUGUCUGCUGCAAUGUUGCCGUCGAUGUUGUUGAAGUGUUGGUGUUCGACAGCUGCAGAUGUAGUGUACUGCUUUUGGUGGGUUCUCUGUUGGUCAUCGCUGCACCGGAGGUGUUUGUGGGCUGUUGUCGACGAGUUGAGUGGGAAGGAGAAAAGGUAGAAGCAGUUGAAAAUUGAAAAGAAAAUGUUGGUUCUUUUUCUUUCGGCAUUUGUUUUGGCAGAAGGACAUCAUGAUGACAAAUGAUGUUGUUGGCUGGAAGAAAAGGGAAAAAGGCUAAGGCUAAGUUUUCUUUUCUUUGGCAUUUUUUCAACGGCAGAAAAUUUUUGGUUCUUUUUUCACUCCCAUUAGUUGCCUUUGGAGCAAGUUGAUGGAAACAUUGGAGGAGUUUGUGAGGGCCAAUUUGUUGAGUUCUGCAAGUUUGGAUAGUGAGGCACCACACUAUUUUGGAUACACCACAUGCACUGCAGAACAUUUGUGUGGAACCCUCUUGUAGAAGGCAAGUUAUAUGCUUUCUAACUUUGUUUGGUCUAUGGACAUUUAGUUGGAUUUGUUUGCCACUGCUAUUUGGUUUGUUGGUCUCCAUCAUCUGCAAUUAGUUUUCUUGAAGACUCCAGUUGAGGUAUGGUUUUGGAUCUCCUGCUGAUUAUUUGAAUUUGAAAUUUUUGGUUGUCCUGUUGGUGCUCAUGUGAUGAUGGUAAACUUGAGUGGAGGGCAUAGUUUUUUUGUAUGUGGUAUGUUAGACCUUGUUGCCAAAUUUGUAAUCAGUUUUGACUUGGAGAAUAUGCCGUGCUAUUUGAAUGAGUCUAUUGAUGCAGUUUAAGACCAUGGUGUUUGUAAGCAGGUGGAGUUCGUUCUGUGUCCAACUUUGGUAUGGUGUGCUUGAUCUUUUGUUAGUGAUAUUGAAGAAUUUCAGUUCUUCGUUUGAAUCACUUUUGUUUUGAUCAAGGCACUUAUGGUUUGCAAAUUUGGAGAAUACGGUAGAGAAAUGGUCUACUUUUGUUGGCUUUGGUAUAAUUUGAGUCGAGGUGGAGAUCAUUAUGAGUACCGGAAAGUUUGGGGAAUUUGAUUUAGUUCCCGUUGUCUUUAGUUUGUACUUUGGGUGAUUAUGGUGAUUGUUGAUUCGAUUCUCUGUGAUGGUUUCGGAACUUGGCCAAGGUGGAGAUUGUUGAAUUGUGGCCAAGUGGCCAUCAUCGGCUAAUAAACAAACAAAAGAAAAGAAAAAGAAAGACAAAAUGAUGAGGAAACAUCAUGAUGAGGAGGCAUCAUGAUUAUGCUUUCUUCUUUUGUGGUUUUUUAAUAACCAUAAUUAUUGUUUGUUUAUUAGCCGAAAGGUGAUGGCCACUUGGCCACAAUUCAACAAUCUCCACCUUGGCCAAGUUCCGAAACCAUCACAGAGAAUCGAAUCAACAAUCACCAUAAUCACCCAAAGUACAAACUAAAGACAACGGGAACUAAAUCAAAUUCCCCAAACUUUCCGAUACUCAUAAUGAUCUCCACCUUGACUCAAAUUGUACCAAAGCCAACAAAAGUAGACCACUUCUCUACCGUCUUCUCCAAAUUUAAAUCCUAUGAAGAAAGGGAGAGCUCAUUUUUUAGAAGAAAGCAGAUUGAAGAGAGAAGAGGAGAGAGAAGGUAGAACCUUUUGGUUAUAAAAGGCAUUCGAUUAUGCCUUUGGAUGUGGGGAGAGCGGCAGAUGAGAGAGCACAGGGAGAGCAUUCGGCUCUCCCAUUUGAAUAUGAGUUGCUCCUUCCCACCAUUUGUAAUAAUCCAAUUUUGUUAGUAAUCACUCAAUCAAAGAUGUUGGUGCUACUUGUGUAGCUUUUGGGAGAGAAGGAUUUUGAUAUGUGUUUCUUCUUCUCCAUUUGUUUCUUAGUUUGAGUGAGAGCUAUUGGGUGUAUGUGGGAUUUGGGUUUGAGUGUUGAACUCUAUUUGUAAUCUUCUUUUGAUAUUAGUGGAAUUUCCUCGCCGUCUCGGAACUGGAUGUAGGCUUAUGCCGAACCAGUAUAAAAAUCCUUGUGUCUUUUGGAUUAUUUGUCUUGUCAUAUUUUGCCAUUAUUAGCUUUGGUUUCAUAUUUGAAGCUUCAGCAAUACAAACAGUACAAGAUCAAUGAAUUCCUAUGAAUGAAUAAACUAAAGAAAUCGAAGAAAGAGAAUAACGAGAGAGAAAAGCUUUUCAUUUAUAUUGCUCUAACAGAAAAUGAUUACAUGAUAAAAAUCUAAGUCUCCAAAACAAUAAUUAUAUAGAGACUAGAAUGAGCAGAAUCACAAUAUUGCCUUUCUAACUAAUUCUUAUCUUCUAACAACCUCAACACUCACAAGCUUGACACUUGUCAUUUCUUACAACCACUCCUAACAAAUCCUAACUGUUUAUCUGGUUAAUAUAACGGAUGGCCGACGACCGACACCGAGAUUUUCCCAAACCUUGGUCCUUACUCUCGUAUAAAUUCGAAACGAACAGUAAACAAUUUUCUCGCAAUCGGAAGCACGGCAAACAUGGAUCUGAGAGAAAGCAUCAUCAACCAAAACGACGUCGCAAGGAGGCUGACGAAGCAGCUGGUUCAGACCGAAGGCAAGCAGUCGAACCUCGUGUACUCGCCGCUGUCCAUCCACGUGGUGCUGAGCCUGAUCGCAGCCGGGUCAAAGGGUCCCACCCAGGAGCAGCUGCUCUCAUUCCUCAAGUCAGAGUCCACCGACCACCUCAACUCCUUCGCCUCCCAGCUCCUGCCCUUUAUCUUCUCCGAUGGGUCCCCCGUGGGCGGCCCCAAGCUGGCGUUUGCGAAUGGCGUUUGGGUGCAGAAGCCUCUCCCUCUGAAGCCUUCCUUCAAGCAGGUGGUGGAAGCUUCUUACAGGGCCGCUCUCGUCCUAGUUGAUUUUCAGACCAAUGUAAGCUCCCAAACCCUCUGUCAUGUCGUUUCGAUUGUUUUUGUCGAUGCUGCUCAUGAUCAAAGUCUUUGGUUGUAAUUUCAGACCAAUGUUUCAAUGUCGAUGCUGCUGAUGCUCUUUUGUUCGUUACUGUUUUUGGUUGUAAUUGAUCGAGAUAUGCAGGUUGAUAUCAUUGUUUUCUAACUUGUCGUAACUGUUGUUGGUGCUCAAGGCUGCUCAAGUGGAGUCGGAAGUGAAUUCAUGGGCUGAAAAGGAGACGAGCGGCCUUAUCAAGGAUCUACUUCCUCCCGGGUCACUUGACAGCUUCACCAGGCUCAUCUUUACCAAUGCAUUAUACUUCAAGGGAGCUUGGAAUGAGAAAUUUGAUGCAACAGCUACAAAAGAGCAUGACUUCCACCUUCUCGACGGGAGCACAGUUAAGGCGCCCUUCAUGACCAACAAGAACCAGCAGUAUGUAAGUGCCUUUGACGGUUUCUCAGUCUUAGGGCUUCCUUACAAACAAGGUGAAGACAAGCGGCGCUUCUCCAUGCACAUCUUUCUUCCACAGGAGAAAGAUGGGCUGCCAGCUUUGGUUGAGAAACUUGGCUCUGAGUCCGGGUUUUUAGAUCGCUAUCUUCCCAAACAACCAGUUGCAGUGGGCGACUUCAGAAUCCCAAAGUUUAAGAUCUCAUUUGGGUUUGAAGCUUCCAAUGUCCUAAAGAGUCUGGGACUGGUGCUGCCUUUCGUGGGUGGAGGUCUGACAGAGAUGGUGGACUCGCCCGAGGGUAAGAAGCUAUAUGUUUCCAACAUAUUCCACAAGUCGUUCAUCGAAGUGAAUGAAGAAGGCACAGAAGCUGCAGCUGCUUCUGCCGGCGUUAUAAGUGAUAGGAGGAUGCCCAUGACAUUUGUGGCUGAUCGUCCGUUCCUCUUCACGAUCAGGGAAGAAACGACCGGAACAGUUCUGUUCAUCGGUAACCUGCUCAACCCUCUUGCCGGCUGAGUGUUACAAUCCCCUGGGAAAAGGCAUCAUGUGUACGUAGAAUAAUACGAGAGUAUAGUAAAUAAAAUGUAUGAUCCUUGUAUACAUGUGCUAGGUUUGGUUAUUACCUAAUCACCCUGUACUUGCCGCAGUUGGUCUUGUUUCUCCCAUGUGGCGAUUGUUGCUCGUUCUCCCAUGGCGUUUAUCUAUUUGUACAAUCUUGAUUCUGAAUACUUAUUUUAUGUUGUACUCUGUUUGAACAAUUAAAGUUUUAGCCGACUGCAAACGUCGGUUAAGUGUUAAAGUAUUUGGACAGGGAUUGUCUGCUUUUUCAUUUUUCGUGUCCUUCUGUUUUGUGUGUUCACAGUUAAACUACGUCAAUAUUUUAUAUUAUUUUUUUAUAGAAAUAAUAAGAUAAAAAUAAAUAAUAAUAUAAAAUAUUAACGUGACUUAACUGUAACCACACAAACAGGAGGGCACGGAAGACCACCGGAAGUGGAAGAGCGGACAUUCUUGUCCAAAGUAUUUAAUAUAUAGAAUGUACGAGUGCUAGUGCUGUACCAUAUACAUGGUUGGUGAUGAAAAGGAUUAAACUAUGAAUAUUCUAUAAAAUAUUAUUUACCCUAGGACGAGGAUUUUCUUUGGAUCUUCUUUACGAGGAUCUUAGGAAUUAAUUCAUUUUAACGGUUUAUUGUACAUCGUACGGUCAACUUUCGUUAGAUACUUUUUAUGUUUAAUUUUAAAUAAAUUCAAAAUAAUUUUUCACUGCAUGAUGCAUUGAUUCCUAAAGCACUCGCAAAGAGACUCCAGAUGUUUAGUUCUCCAUGACUGGAGAUGGCCUAAGAUGCUAAACACUUAACACUAACCAAUUUUUCCGGUUAGUUAAAUUGUUUAAUAAAUGCUAUCCACACUCUAAAAUAAUUGACCAUAUUUUCUUGACUCUUUUGUUAGAUUGCAUGAAAUAUUGUUCGAGUAAAUAAUCUCUCAAGUAUCACUCAGACUUCAUAAUGAUUUUGAUUUUGAUUACAUAGUAAGCAUGUCAUUAAGGUCAAAUUUUGAACAAACACCCAAUUACAUAGCACGCAUGUUAUUAUGGUGUAUGCUCAUUGUCACUUUCAAAACUUGACACCUGUCUACUAACAUAACCGAUGGCCGACGACCGACACCUUCCCAAACCUUGGUCCUUACCCUCGUAUAAAUUCGAAACGAACAGUAAACAAUUUUCUCGCAAUCGGAAGCACGGCAAACAUGGAUCUGAGAGAAAGCAUCAUCAACCAAAACGACGUCGCAAGGAGGCUGACGAAGCAGCUGGUUCAGACCGAAGGCAAGCAGUUGAACCUCGUGUACUCGCCGCUGUCCAUCCACGUGGUGCUGAGCCUGAUCACAGCCGGGUCAAAGGGUCCCACCCAGGAGCAGCUGCUCUCAUUCCUCAAGUCAAAGUCCACCGAUCACCUCAACUCCUUCGCCUCCCAGCUAGUGUCCGUGAUCUUCUCCGAUGGGUCCCCCGUGGGCGGCCCCAAGCUGGCGUUUGCGAAUGGGCUUUGGGUGCACAAGCCUCUCACGCUGAAGCCUUCCUUCAAGCAGGUGGUGGACGCUUCUUACAAGGCAGCUCUCGCCCUAGUCGAUUUUCAGACUAAUGUAAGCUCCCAAACCCUCUGUCAUGUCGUUUCGAUAGUUUUUUUUUCAAUGCUGCUCAUGAUCAAAGUCCUGAAUUUUUUUUCCCGAUUUGAUUAGAGAUGUAUAAAUAUUUCCUAAAUUGCAGGCCUGCUGAUGCUCUUUUAUUCUUGUAGCAUUUCAACUAAAUAUUUCCUCUCUAAUCAUUACUGUUUGUGCUUGUUCUUGUGCAUAGCCGUUACGAAAUCGUAUCGAAGAUUUUUUUGUUCGUUACUGUUUGUGGUUAUAAUCUAGGUAUUAAAUAUUGAUAAUAUCGGAAAUAUCGGUAGUCCAGAAACACGGAAAUAUUGAUGGAAAUAUCGGGAUAUUAUCGAUAUGUAUAAAAAUAAUAUGGAAACCACGGAAAUUGUAAGAAAAACUUGGAAAUUUUUAUUGAAACUUUGCAGGAUGUUUAUUUAGUCAAUUAUCUAUUAGUUUAUCACAAAAUAUUGGAAGGAAAUGUAUUACAUAAUAGAUUUAACUGAUUUAAGUUGAUUAUAUAGCGAACUAGCGAACUACCAAACAUUAUGAGUUAGAAAAUAUGUAGUAAUUAAUAAAAGAAGUUUAAACACACAGUCACCGACUAUUAAAAAUUGUACAUGUAAAAGCUGUAAAAGUUGAAUUAUUUAGAUGCUUUUUUUUCUUACAUGCCACCCACACACACACACACACAGACUCUCACACGCCAACACACACGCACACACAGAUCACACACACAUCACACACACAGACAGAGACUGAGGUCUCUCUUUCUCGAUCCUUCUCUCUUCUCUCUCGAUCCUUCUCCCUUCUCUUCGACAGAGACUGAGGUCUAUCUCUCUCUCGAUCCUUCUCUCUUCUCUCCCUUCUCCAUUCUCCCACACACACACCCAGAUCUCUCGAUCUCUCUUCUCCCUUCUCCCACACACACGCACAGAGACCUCGCCCCUCCCCCCUCGUCAUCGUCUCCACCGCAAAUCUAGGUCUUUGAACGUAAAUUGCAGGCCUGCUGAUGCUCUUUUAUUCUUGUAGCAUUUCAACUAAAUAUUUCCUCUCUAAUCAUUACUGUUUGUGCUUGUUCUUGUGCAUAGCCGUUACGAAAUCAUAUCGAAGAUUUUUUGUUUGUUACUAUUUGUGGUUAUAAUCUAGGUAUUAAAUAUUGGUAAUAUCGGUAGUCCAGAAACACGGAAAUAUUGAUGGAAAUAUCGGGAUAUUAUCGAUAUGUAUAAAAAUAAUAUGGAAACCACGGAAAUUGUAAGAAAAACUUGAAAAUUUUUAUUGAAACUUUGCAGGAUGUUUAUUUAGUCAAUUAUCUAUUAGUUUAUCACAAAAAAAUUGGAAGGAAAUGCAUUGCAUGAUAGAUUUAACUGAUUUAAGUUGAUUAUAUAGCGAACUAGCGAACUAGCAAACAUUAUGAGUGUAGAAAAUAUGUAGUAAUUAAUGAAAGAAGUUUAAACACACAGUCACCGACUAUUAAAAAUUGUACAUGUAAAAGCUGUAAAAGUUGAAUUAUUUAGAUGUUUUUUUUUCUUACAUGCCAUCCACACACACACACACACACAGACUCUCACACGCCAACACACACCACGCAUACACAGAUCACACACACAGACAGAGACUGAGGUCUCUCUCUCUCGAUCCUUCUCUCUUCUCUCUCGAUCAUUCUCCAUUCUCUCUCGACCUAGACUGACUCUCUCUCUCUCUCUCUCUCUCUCUCUCUCUCUCUCUCUCUCUCUUUCCCACACACACACAGAUCUUUCGAUCUCUCUUCUCCCUUCUCCCACACACACGCACAGAGACAUCGUCCUUCGUCAUCGUCAUCGUCUCCCACACACACGCACAGAGACCUCGCCCCUCGUCAUCGUCUCCACCGCAAAUCUAGGUCUUUGAACGUAAAUUGCAGGCCUGCUGAUGCUCUUUUAUUCUUGUAGCAUUUCAACUAAAUAUUUCCUCUCUAAUCAUUACUGUUUGUGCUUGUUCUUGUGCAUAGCCGUUACGAAAUCGUAUCGAAGAUUUUUUGUUCAUUACUGUUUGUGGUUAUAAUCUAGGUAUUAAAUAUUGGUAAUAUCGGAAAUAUCGGUAGUCCAGAAACAUGGAAAUAUUGAUGGAAAUAUCGGGAUAUUAUCGAUAUGUAGAAAAAUAAUAUGGAAACCACAAAAAUUGUAAGAAAAACUUGAAAAUUGUUAUUGAAACUUUGCAGGAUGUUUAUUUAGUCAAUUAUAUAUUAGUUUAUCACAAAAAAUUGGAAGGAAAUGCAUUGCAUGAUAGAUUUAACUGAUUUAAGUUGAUUAUAUAGCGAGCUAGCAAACAUUAUGAGUAGAAAAUAUGUAGUAAUUAAUGAAAGAAGUUUAAACACACAGUCACAGACUAUUAAAAAUUGUACAUGUAAAAGCUGUAAAAGUUGAAUUAUUUAGAUACUUUUUUUUCUUACACGCCACCCACCCACACACACACACACACUCUCACACGCCAACACACACGCACACACAUACACACAUCACACACAGACAGAGACUGAGGUCUCUCUUUCUCGAUCCUUCUCUCUUCUCUCUCGAUCAUUCUCCCUUCUCUCCGACAGAGACUGAGGUCUCUCUCUCUCUCUCGAUCCUUCGCUCUUCUCUCCCUUCUCCAUUCUCCCACACACACACACAGAGAUCUCUCGAUCUCUCUUCUCCCUUCUCCCACACACACGCACAGAGACAUCGUCCCUUGUCAUCGUCAUCGUCUCCCACACACACAUACACAGACCUCGCCCCUCGCCCCUCGUCAUCGUCUCCAUCGCAGAUCUAGGUCUUUGAAUGUCAAAGUUUCGAGCGCACCUCAAAUCCAGGCAAUCUGAUUCUGACGCUGUAGUCGUCGCCGCCACCACCAACUUCCUAAGCCAAGAAUGGAGAACCUGAUCUCGUUGGUGAACAAAAUCCAGAGGGCUUGUACUACUCUAGGGGACUAUGGCGAAGGUAGUGCAUUCGUCGUCGCCGUCGUCGCCAUCGCCGUCAGUGGUCAGAUCAACUCCCGGUCCCUCACCUUCUUACCUCUUCGAUUGAUUCAUGCAUAUGAAUUGUGGUUGUGUUUUCAAUCGCUCUGUAGCUUAGAUCUUGAUCUUAAUCAUGUUUUUGCAAGGUUUUUGGGAUGAAAUCGGCUCGGGAAUCGGCACACCCAUUUCCGGCGUUCUUCUCCGAGUAGCCAGUUCCAAAAAUAUCGUGAUAAUUUCGGAAAUAUUACGAUAUUAUCGAUAGUAUAGCUAUAUUUUGACGAAAACCCUUUGGAUACCUAUUAAAAUAUCGGUCCGGCGAAAAACCGAUAAUAUCGACGAUAUAUUGGCGAUUUUGUUCCUUGGUUAUAAUUGAUCGAGAUAUGCAGGCUGAUAUCAUUGUUUUCUAACUUGUCGUAACUGUUGUUGGUGCUCAAGGCUGCUCAAGUGGCGUCGGGAGUGAAUUCAUGGGCUGAAAAGGAGACGAGCGGCCUUAUCAAGGAUCUACUUCCUCCCAGGUCACUUGACAGCUCAACCAGGCUCAUCUUUACGAAUGCAUUGUACUUCAAAGGAGCUUGGACUGAGAAAUUUGAUGCAUCAGCUACAAAAGAGCAUGACUUCCACCUUCUCGACGGGAGCACAGUUAAGGCGCCCUUCAUGACCAGCAAGAGGAAGCAGUAUGUAAGUGCCUUUGACGGUUUCUCAGUCUUAGGGCUUCCUUACAAACAAGUUGAAGACAAGCGGCGCUUCUCCGUGCACAUCUUUCUUCCAGAGGAGAAAGAUGGGCUGCCAGCUUUGGUUGAGAAACUUGGCUCUGAGUCCGGGUUUUUGGAUCGAUAUCUUCCCAAACAACCAGUUGCAGUGGGCGACUUCAGAAUCCCAAAGUUUAAGAUCUCAUUUGGGUUUGAAGCUUCCAAUGUCCUAAAGAGUCUGGGACUGGUGCUGCCUUUCGAGGGUGAAGGAGGUCUGACAGAGAUGGUGGACUCGCCCGAGGGUAAGAAGCUAUAUGUUUCCAGCAUAUUUCACAAGUCGUUCAUCGAAGUGAAUGAAGAAGGCACAGAAGCUGCAGCUGCUUCUGCCGGCGUUAUAAGUCAGAGGAGUAUGCCCAUGACAUUUGUGGCUGAUCAUCCAUUCCUCUUCACGAUCAGGGAAGAAACCACAGGAACAGUUCUGUUCAUCGGUAACCUGCUCAACCCUCUUGCCGGCUGAGUGUUACAAUCCCCUGGGAAAAGGCAUCAUGUGUACGUAGAAUAAUACGAGACUAUAGUAAAUAAAAUGUAUGAUCCUUGUAUACAUGUGCUAGGUUUGGUUAUUACCUAAUCACCCUGUACUUGCCGCAGUUGGUCUUGUUUCUCCCAUGUGGCGAUUGUUGUUCGUUCUCCCAUAUGGCGUUUAUCUAUUUGUAGAAUCUUGAUUCUAAAUACUUAUUUUAUGUUGUACUCUGUUUGAACAAUU